AACGAACGCUGGCGGCAGGCUUAAGACAUGCAAGUCGAACGCCCCGCAAGGGGAGUGGCAGACGGGUGAGUAACGCGUGGGAACAUACCCUCCGGUUCGGAAUAACUCAGGGAAACUUGAGCUAAUACCGGAUACGGUCGAGAGGCGAAAGAUUUAUCGCCGAGGGAUUGGCCCGCGUUCGAUUAGCUAGUUGGUGAGGUAACGGCUCACCAAGGCGACGAUCGAUAGCUGGUCUGAGAGGAUGAUCAGCCACAUUGGGACUGAGACACGGCCCAAACUCCUACGGGAGGCAGCAGUGGGGAAUAUUGGACAAUGGGCGCAAGCCUGAUCCAGCCAUGCCGCGUGAGUGAUGACGGCCUUAGGGUUGUAAAGCUCUUUCGCUCGGGACGAUAAUGACGGUACCGAGAUAAGAAGCCCCGGCUAACUUCGUGCCAGCAGCCGCGGUAAUAC
RNAcentral lists this ribosomal RNA (450 nucleotides) under uncultured bacterium. RNAcentral describes it as "bacterial SSU rRNA". It matches the Rfam family "Bacterial small subunit ribosomal RNA", at positions 29 to 526 of the family's 1533-position model. The record is from RNAcentral.